Oncorhynchus keta (chum salmon) is the source of this 1612-nucleotide long non-coding RNA. RefSeq lists it as uncharacterized. NCBI's taxonomy places the organism in Eukaryota, Metazoa, Chordata, Actinopteri, Salmoniformes, Salmonidae. The transcript is spliced from 3 exons. The record is from RefSeq and is a predicted model, not a curated record.
CAUUAUUUUAUUUUUUUAAAUAUAUAUUUUUAAAGGACACAUCGUGCCUGUGCAGUUAAUACACAUGGUGUUCUGUGUUCCCUUGGUAGUGCUAUUUACACCACCCUGAGCAGUUAAUACACAUGGUGUUCCCUUGGUAGUGCUAGUUACACCACCCUGUGCAGUUAAUACACAUGGUGUUCCCUUGGUAGUGCUAGUUACACCACCCUGAGCAGUUAAUACACAUGGUGUCCCUUGGUAGUGCUAAUUACACCACCCUGAGCAGUUAAUACACAUGGUGUUCCCUUGGUAGUGCUAGUUACACCACCCUGUGCAGUUAAUACACAUGGUGUUCCCUUGGUAGUGCUAUUUACACCACCCUGAGCAGUUAAUACACAUGGUGUCCCUUGGUAGUGCUAGUUACACCACCCUGAGCAGUUAAUACACAUGGUGUUCCCUUGGUAGUGCUAGUUACACCACCCUGAGCAGUUAAUACACAUGGUGUUCUGUGUUCCCUUGGUAGUGCUAUUUACACCACCCUGUGCAGUUAAUACACAUGGUUAGAGGAAGUAUGGAGGUCAUAAUGCUCCCCAGACCUGGUUGUUGACAUGAUAAGAGGAAGUAUGGAGGUCAUAAUGCUCCCCAGACCUGGUUGUUGACAUGAUUAGAGGAAGUAUAGAGGUCGUAGUGCUCCCCAGACCUGGUUGUUGACAUGAUUAGAGGAAGUAUGGAGGUCGUAAUGCUCCCCAGACCUGGUUAUUGACAUGAUUAGAGGAAGUAUGGAGGUCGUAGUGCUCCCCAGACCUGGUUGUUGAGGUUGUUGACAUGAUUAGAGGAAGUAUGGAGGUCGUAGUGCUCCCCAGACCUGGUUGUUGAGGUUGUUGACAUGAUUAGAGGAAGUAUGGAGGUCGUAAUGCUCCCCAGACCUGGUUGUUGACAUGAUUAGAGGAAGUAUGGAGGUCGUAGUGCUCCCCAGACCUGGUUGUUGAGGUUGUUGACAUGAUUAGAGGAAGUAUGGAGGUCGUAAUGCUCCCCAGACCUGGUUGUUGACAUGAUUAGAGGAAGUAUGGAGGUCGUAGUGCUCCCCAGACCUGGUUGUUGAGGUUGUUGACAUGAUUAGAGGAAGUAUGGAGGUCAUAAUGCUCCCCAGACCUGGUUGUUGACAUGAUUAGAGGAAGUAUGGAGGUCGUAGUGCUCCCCAGACCUGGUUGUUGACAUGAUUAGAGGAAGUAUGGAGGUCGUAAUGCUCCCCAGACCUGGUUGUUGACAUGAUAAGAGGAAGUAUGGAGGUCAUAAUGCUCCCCAGACCUGGUUGUUGACAUGAUUAGAGGAAGUAUGGAGGUCGUAAUGCUCCCCAGACCUGGUUGUUGACAUGAUUAGAGGAAGUAUGGAGGUCGUAGCGCUCCCCUGACCUGGUUGUUGAGGUUGUUGACAUGAUAAGAGGAAGUAUGGAGGUCAUAAUGCUCCCCAGACCUGGUUGUUGACAUGAUUAGAGGAAGUAUGGAGGUCGUAGUGCUCCCCAGACCUGGUUGUUGACAUGAUUAGAGGAAGUAUGGAGGUACACAAUAAUAAACUAGGAAGUCAUGAAGAGAGGGGGGAGGAAGACCGGAUUUGAGAUUCAAACAGAAAGAGA